Molecule: ribosomal RNA, 253 nt
Filed under: uncultured prokaryote
Description: partial 16S ribosomal RNA
Rfam family: Bacterial small subunit ribosomal RNA
Source: RNAcentral
UACGUAGGUGGCAAGCGUUAUCCGGAAUUAUUGGGCGUAAAGGGCGCGUAGGCGGUGCGGUAAGUCACCUGUGAAAUCUCCGGGCUUAACUCGGAGCCUGCAGGCGAAACUACCGUGCUGGAGUGUGGGAGAGGUGCGUGGAAUUCCCGGUGUAGCGGUGGAAUGCGUAGAUAUCGGGAGGAACACCUGUGGCGAAAGCGGCGCACUGGACCAUAACUGACGCUGAUGCGCGAAAGCUAGGGGAGCAAACAGG